Marmota monax (woodchuck) is the source of this 1478-nucleotide long non-coding RNA. RefSeq lists it as uncharacterized. The transcript has 3 exons. Lineage: Eukaryota; Metazoa; Chordata; Mammalia; Rodentia; Sciuridae. The record is from RefSeq and is a predicted model, not a curated record.
CUCUAUUUUACUCAAAAGCCAGAACUUUGCAAUGGGCUGCAGAGGCUGACACUUCCCUGAAUUUCCUUGACCUCACUCUGAGCUGCAGUCACUCCAGUCAUUCUGCCUUCUUUCUGUUCCUCCAACAUGCCAGGUCUUGCUAGCCUCAGGAUGUUUGCACAGGCAGUUUCCUGUGUGGAAUGCACUUUCCCAGAUAACUGUGUAGUCCAAUGCUCACCUCUUCCACAUCCUGCUCAAAUAUCACUUUCUUAACAAGUCCUGACCACAGUGCUUAAAAUGUGAACACUUCAACUCUAUAUCCUUCUUUAUUUUUAUCCAGAAGAUUGAUUAAUAAGCUCUGUGUUUUAUGUAUAUAUUCUAUUUACCACUUCUCUCUUUCUGCUAGGAAGUAAGAUCCAUAUGGCAGAUAUUUUAAUGUUUUGUUUUUUUUUUAAAUUUAUCCCUGUCUAAAUCUUCAGUGCCUAGUACACCAAAGACAAUAAAUACAUGUAUUGAUUGAUUGAGGAUUUGAUCGAAGGUUGUUUCACAUAUGUACAGAAACCCAACAAGGCUAAAAUAGAGCUAUUCUAGUGCAUGUAGAAUGGUGAAGCAGACAGUUUAUUUUGUUACCAACUCAUUUGCCUCUUGUAGAAUUCUUUACCUCCGUGUUCUCAUCCAUCUGCAGCAUUUCAAGACCUGAGGAUACUGCCAACGUCCUUAGCACCCAAUGGUCUCAUGCUGCCCUGCCUGCUGGAGAGUCUCCAAUACAAUGUCAUCAAGUGGUGCUGGUGCUCUGGACCAGCCCUCCUUUCUCCCAACCCAGAUUUCCGUCAUCACCCAGAUGCUUCUCCUAAGCUACCAUCUUAGACAAAAUUACAAAGUUUCAACCUUGCUCCUAGGCUUUCAUUUGAUCCCCGGAUGGCCUGCCUGUUACAGCAGUGUACAUAACCAUGAACCCUCCUUGGAAGAAGGACCAUCUCGAGAAGCAGGAAGUUUUCAAAGCAGACCCUAACGUUCUCAUUUGGCAUUUGCUCCUCCUAAUAUCCCAUUCACCAUGCUGUGAUGUAGCCAGAAGGCCCUCACCAGAGCCUAAGAAGAUAUAGGUAUCAUACUGUUGGAUCCCCAGAACUGCAAGAUCACUCUUCUUUAUAAGUUACCCAGGCUGGCUGUGGUGGUGCACAUCUGUAAUCUCAGCAUUUUGGGAGGCUGAGACAGAAGGAUUGUGAGUUCAAAGCCAGGCUCAGCAAUUCAGCAAAACCCUAAGCAAUUCAGUGAGACCCUGUCUCUAAAUAAAAUAUACAAAAGGGCUGGGGAUACAGCUCAGUGGUUAAACACCCCCUGGAUGCAAUCCCUGGUACUGACAAAACAAACAAACAAAAAACCCAGUUACCCAGUCUCAGUUAUUUUAUUGUGGCAACAGAACAUGGACUAAGACAUAAACCAAAUGUACACUGAAAAGACUUGAAUUAGUUAGAAAAUAAAUAAAGAACUGGAAAGUC